This 367-nucleotide ribosomal RNA is filed under the name Theileria orientalis. Its description in RNAcentral is "SSU rRNA". It matches the Rfam family "Eukaryotic small subunit ribosomal RNA", at positions 495 to 900 of the family's 1831-position model. Lineage: Eukaryota; Apicomplexa; Aconoidasida; Piroplasmida; Theileriidae. The record is from RNAcentral.
UUAAUGUCUUGUAAUUGGAAUGAUGGGAAUUUAACCCUCUUCCAGAGUAUCAAUUGGAGGGCAAGUCUGGUGCCAGCAGCCGCGGUAAUUCCAGCUCCAAUAGCGUAUAUUAAAAUUGUUGCAGUUAAAAAGCUCGUAGUUGAAUUUCUGCUGCAUUUCAUUUCUCUUUCUGAGUUUGUUUUUGCGGCUUAUUUCGGUUUGAUUUUUUCUUUCCGGAUGAUUACUUUGAGAAAAUUAGAGUGCUCAAAGCAGGCUUUUGCCUUGAAUAGUUUAGCAUGGAAUAAUAAAGUAGGACUUUGGUUCUAUUUUGUUGGUUUUAGGUACCAAAGUAAUGGUUAAUAGGAACAGUUGGGGGCAUUCGUAUUUA